UACGGAGGGUGCAAGCGUUAUCCGGAUUCACUGGGUUUAAAGGGUGCGUAGGAGGGCAGGUAAGUCAGUGGUGAAAUCUCCAAGCUUAACUUGGAAACUGCCAUUGAUACUAUCUGUCUUGAAUACCGUGGAGGUGAGCGGAAUAUGUCAUGUAGCGGUGAAAUGCUUAGAUAUGACAUAGAACACCAAUUGCGAAGGCAGCUCACUACACGAAUAUUGACUCUGAGGCACGAAAGCGUGGGGAGCAAACAGG
This 253-nucleotide ribosomal RNA is filed under the name uncultured bacterium. Its description in RNAcentral is "partial 16S ribosomal RNA". It matches the Rfam family "Bacterial small subunit ribosomal RNA", at positions 524 to 776 of the family's 1533-position model. The record is from RNAcentral.